Long non-coding RNA from Cyprinus carpio carpio, 1973 nucleotides. The record is from Ensembl. NCBI's taxonomy places the organism in Eukaryota, Metazoa, Chordata, Actinopteri, Cypriniformes, Cyprinidae.
UUUUACAAUAUUUAACUGUGUUUUUUUACAGUAAAAUACUGUUUUUAUAGUUUUACUGUAAUAUCACAGUAAUGCAGAUUCGCUCACUGACUAUUAACUAUCUGCUGUGAUAUGACAGCAAAUUACUGUAAAAAUACCUAUUCAGCUGAGAACGAAGGCGCCAUCUUCAGUCUGGCUACUUUACAUCUCACGACGACACGACAGGACGCAGGAAUAUUCUCUUGGCACUGAUGAUGCUAUCUGAUGUAUAAAGGUAAGUGACGAGGUAAAUAAAAAGUGCAUAUAGUUAAAACAAAAAUGGAUCUAAGCAGUUAUUUAUGCGAUGUUAGAGAUCUGGCUAUCUAGCAAGUUAGCGUUUCAUAGUGGUGGUUGAAAAUCCCUGACAUUGGCAUGAAAGCAGCCGAAAAAUGACCUUAAAAACUUAGAAAAGUGCUUUACAGCAGUUGUUUAUGAUGAAUUAUGUUUUUGUUACCAAGUUUUGUUAAAGGACGGCUUGCAAUUUUUUUUUUAAUGAUCCUAUGUUUUGUGCAAUUAUUUUAAGUGAACGUAAUCGAAAUUUAUUAAGUCUUUGGAGAGAGGUGAAUAAUCUUGAACAAUUUUUUUGGUGAAAGAAAAAAUAGGCUAGUCUCUAGUGCAUGGCUAACUUUACAAAGUUUGAACUUGAAGAAUGGGCGGGAUGUCCCAGGGUAGCUCGACACGGUCAUCCAUUUUGCAUUAUCACUGUGAACUUAGAAGACGACGCACACGAGAAGUUCUGCUGAGAUAUUAUUUUCCGUGUUGACUUUAUCUUUACUUCAGUUAUUGCUUCAGAGGUGCUUCCUGGGCAUCAACCCUGAUACAGGAUCUAAAUCCAAGAAGAAGCAGGGAGGCAUCAAUCAGCAAGUUUGUUCUCUGCUGCGCAAACUUGUGGAUUUUGAAUGGAUGGCAACAUGAUCAGAUUUUGUGUUAAAGGAGAACUCCGGUCAAUUUUAACAUUGAGCUCAUUUUUUUGUAAAUUUGGAGUGCUGUCAAUACAGAGAACAACGACAAAAAUCGGUGUUGCCUACACUUGUUAUCCUCUUUUUAAAAUUUGCACCCUGUUGACUUCAAUUGGGCAAUGUUUAAACCUGCUUUUAGCCUCUUAACAUCCUUGAUGUGUCAUUACAAGUGCACAGCCAAUGUGAGUGAUUCCUUCAGAGUGAACACGAGUGAAUCUGACUGCAGUAGAUGUGAAAAAUAUGAAUAAAAAUGAAGUUUUUGUUUAGUAUAUGUUUAGUUACCUAUGAUCACGCGCAUGAACUCGACAAUCGACUACUUUGGACUUCAACCGAAAACAGGAAGUAAAUACAGGUAUGAGCGCUGGCCGAAUUAACUUCAUUUUUAUUCAUAUUUUUCACAUCUACUGCAGUCAGAUUCACCCAUGUUAACUCUAAAAAAAUCACUCACAUUGGCUGUGCACUUGUAAUGACACAUCAAGGAUGUUAAGAGGGUAAAAGCAGGUUUAAAAUAUUGCCCCAUUGAAGUCAACAGGGUGCAAAUUUUAAAAAGAGGAUAACAAGUGUAGGCAACACCGAUUUUUGUCGUUGUUCUCUGUAUUGACAGCACUCCAAAUUUACAAAAAAAUGAGCUCAAUGUUAAAAUUGACCGGAGUUCUCCUUUAAGUAUGUACUCGCAUGAAACCUGUGUGUUGGGGCUUGGGUUACCAUGUUAUUUGUUUUAAUGGUAUUACUUUUUUCAUUUGCUCUGGUCAUUGUUGGCUCUCUCCGUUUUUACUUGCCAUAUCGCCACUGAAUAUGUUGGACUGCCCUUCUGGUCAAGACCUUCACUUCUACCUAUUGUUUUGGUAUUUACCUCUAGCUGUGUUUUUUGGAAUGCCAUCUCGUUGCCAACUCUUGCCCGUUGCCGACUCUUGCCCGCUGUUAUGCAAUGACUCUUGCAACGUUUGUUAUGAUAUUGUUGUAUCAAUUUUAUUGAAAAUAAAAUCAAUUGUGGAA